Mesocricetus auratus (golden hamster) is the source of this 580-nucleotide long non-coding RNA. RefSeq lists it as uncharacterized. The transcript has 3 exons. Lineage: Eukaryota; Metazoa; Chordata; Mammalia; Rodentia; Cricetidae. The record is from RefSeq and is a predicted model, not a curated record.
CUUCACUACCAGAGUCUCUGUUUCAUGUGUUCUAAUACCUAUGUGAGAAACACAACUUUUAUUUUCUCCCCAUCCUGGUAAGAGGUAUGAUCUAAUGACUGCCUGUGUCUUCUGUUGACCUUAUGCUUGGCUUUAGAAGGGAAUUACCAGAGAGGAGUCAUCGAGGGAGACAGCUUUGAGAGUCCAUGUCCUCUGAUGACAUAAUUCAUGGAAAUAGGAGUAAAACCAGGAAGGCCAUUUGUGAAUGGAUGUAUUUGCGAGAGGAUGAGAGUGUGAAUUGUCUUGGAGUGUCUUGAAGGUGGUGUGUAAAAUACACUCAGCUCAGCUCAUGUGGAACUAUUAAAAGUUGCUCUUAUAGAUCGUGCCAUAAAUAAAACAGGGUUUCAAACAGUACAACACACCCUUUUGGAAGAGUGGACAAAUGCAAUCUCUAUGCCAUAAUGAUACUGUGACGAAGUUGUCUGGGUAGCCUUCAGGAAAGAUAAUGUGAAGAUACUUUAUGGAUGAAUUAUGUAUCAAUUGUUUUCCUGAAGAAGAGAAUAUAGUACAGAUGAACUUUAUUUAUGACUGGAUUUCUUUA